This 346-nucleotide RNase P RNA is filed under the name Solobacterium sp. Its description in RNAcentral is "RNase P RNA component class B". It matches the Rfam family "Bacterial RNase P class B". Rfam says of the family: Ribonuclease P (RNase P) is a ubiquitous endoribonuclease, found in archaea, bacteria and eukarya as well as chloroplasts and mitochondria. Its best characterised activity is the generation of mature 5'-ends of tRNAs by cleaving the 5'-leader elements of precursor-tRNAs. Lineage: Bacteria; Bacillati; Bacillota; Erysipelotrichia; Erysipelotrichales; Erysipelotrichaceae. The record is from RNAcentral.
AUAUUCGGGCAGUCGCUGGUCGUUUCGAUCAGAGGAAAGUCCAUGCUCGCACAGGCUGUGAUGCCUGUAGUGUUUGUGCCGGCCGAAUCAAUAAGACCGGGCAGCGAAAGCUGACGGCGGAGUCCAACUCUAAAGGAGCGAUCCCAUGACGCGGACCCGUAAUGUGCCACAGUGACGCAGCCGGAGCGGAAACGUUCCGGGUGGAACGAGGUAAACCCCGCAAGCGAGAAAUCCAAAUUUGGUAGGAGAAUUCCCCGCGGCGAACCGAAGCCAAACGGGAGGUGCCUUCGGGCAGAGAUAAAUGGCUGCCAUCCGGGCAACCGGAGACAGAACAUGGCUUACAGAG